GGUGUCUUACCAUAUUAUUUUGACAACUUUGUUGAUAGUUUUGUUUAUAUUUCUAACCAGUUAAGAAAUGUGCAUAUCAGGGAAUAAUUAGGCUAAAGUAAUAAUGUUUUUGUCAAAAAACUUUUCAACAAGAAAUUUAUCUUUUGUGUAACUAUUUUGAACUGCAGUUUAGGAAAUUCUGUAUCCUGUAAUUGUGAUUUAGUUAUUGGAAUUGUGAUUUAUUGUUAUUGAUUGAUUGUACUCUUGAACUAGGUCCCACUGUUAAAACAGCGAAACCAGUUUGGAAGUGCUGGAGGUCUGCAGUUCAUAAAGUAACCACAAGGUAGCAGUGUAAACUUGUGCGAGUCCGAUUCUUAUUCACAGCUGUUUCAUGAACGCUCUGGUGACUGUAGCAUCUCUGCAUUUACUCCCCAUGUGCGUGCAACUGAAGCUUAAGAAAGCACCUGUUUUUUAUUAGAGCGGUAAUCCAACUCCAGUCCCUCUUAAGGAAGCAGAGGAGAGAUAGAGGUGAAAGGAAAUAUAUAGCUGCUGGAAGAAAAAAAUACAGUAUUUGCAGCACCAUGGGGAGAGUGAAACAAGUCAUUCAUGAAAGACAAGAGCAAAGUCUUACAAGAAGGUUACAACAGUACAUUAUCAUGGCAAGGUGUAUGGCAAAGCUCAGCUGUCAGUCAUCUCUUCGGCCCAUAACUCUGUGUGUCAGAGGAAUGCAUAAGUGCCCAUGCCGCCAACCUGCACGGAGCUCAGUGUGGAAAUGUAGGCCACACUGCAAAUAUUUGGCUUGGAUUGAGAAAUUGAAUUAUACUGGCACGGAAAGCCAAGAAAUAAAAAAGAGCAACCUUGGGAACCAUUAUGCAAAGUGAAUGGAGGCUUCAAACCAAGUGCUACUGGUUUUCAUUUGGACAGGAAAAAAUCCCUCAGUCGCAAAACCAAUCUGCCUAAAUAAACGCUUCCCCAAAUCUAUCUUUGCCUUGGGAGUAAGCUGUUGGGUCCGGAGUGCCUCGGGUAGUUCAUUUGGGUUCUUUACUCCAGACGUCUUAAGAUUUCAUCUGCAUUUUGCUCAGUUUUUUUGUCAGUGGCCCAUGUAUGGUUACGGUAAGAACUGCAGACUGAACCAGCAUGUAGUUAUGCUUUUGUGAUGGUCUGAUACAGGUGACAAAACAUAAAAGCUGUUAGAAAGGAAAAGCAAUUAAGUUACAGUAGACCAGCUCUCAAAACUAGGAGCAAAUUGGGAGUAAAGCAAGAAAAAAAGGCUUGUGCUGGUCGCUUUAGCAUCUCCUUUGGGUCGUUUGGCUCUUGAAAUGUUUCCUGCAAUGAACAAAACAGAUAACGUUUCUGCAGAGUUGCUCUAACAUAUCACAUACCGGAUCUGCAAGUGCACGUGUGUGUGGUACACUGUUUCUGUGAUAUAUUUUGCAGUGAACUCAAGAGUGCUGCAGUGUUGACAUAUUUUUAUAGGCCAACCCGGAAGUUUGCUUCACCCUGGUUCCCUCAACCAAAACCCAGUGGGAUUUUUUUCAUUAGCUUUUGGAUUAUUACAGAAAAUAUGCUCUGUGACCAUUAAAGUCUUAUGAUUCUUAAGCUUUCUGUUCAUCAUUAUAAUCUUCACAGUGAAGCCUAAAUACAGUAGUCAGACGUAAAAAGCCAUGGUUGCAUGACUUAAAUACAACCAACAACUUCCAACAACUCUUUCAUUCUUUAUUUAAAACACAUUUUCCCUGAAAGUUUGAGUUAAAAUAGCAUGCAAGAGUGUGAUUUUGAACAAGCAACUAGUGUGCAGAUGAGUUUACCUGACCGGCGUGAUGUUGUUUAAUGCCCCCGACAACCACUUUUAGCCACUUUUUAGCAACUGCCUUUUUCAAGAUCAUUACAAGCUUUAAAAAUCCUCAAGAUUAGUGAUGUAUUUUAUGUCAUAGAAUAAAACAUAAAAAUAUCCUGAGGAUACAGGCCUUAUUUCAGACAUUUAACUAUAGAUCAUUGCAUUCUGAAUGAUUGAACCAGAAGUGCUAAAAAUACAUAUCUUUUUGCAGUUCUACAGCUUGAAUAAAGCCUAUCCUUUAGCUUUGUACAGUUAUAUAUAUUUUUUUUAAAACACCAACUUUCAAACUCAUCACCUUCAACUUAUAUG
Molecule: long non-coding RNA, 2125 nt
Organism: Cyprinus carpio carpio
Lineage: Eukaryota; Metazoa; Chordata; Actinopteri; Cypriniformes; Cyprinidae
Source: Ensembl